AAGCUAUGAUGUGGUCAUUGAGACCAAUAGCCCUUGAACAUCUCUCAUGCUUCACUAAAUCCCUCUAGGUUCUUCUGCUGAAAGCUAGAGAUCUCAUUCCUGAUCUU
RNAcentral lists this small nucleolar RNA (107 nucleotides) under Brassica carinata (Ethiopian mustard). RNAcentral's name for it is "Plant small nucleolar RNA R71". It matches the Rfam family "Plant small nucleolar RNA R71". Rfam says of the family: R71 is a member of the C/D box family of snoRNAs containing the C (UGAUGA) and D (CUGA) box motifs. Multiple nearly identical copies of this snoRNA have been identified in Arabidopsis, and it is thought to function as a 2'-O-ribose methylation guide for 18S ribosomal RNA. RNAcentral also lists the same sequence under 1 other name. The record is from Rfam by way of RNAcentral. Lineage: Eukaryota; Viridiplantae; Streptophyta; Magnoliopsida; Brassicales; Brassicaceae.